This is a long non-coding RNA of Gasterosteus aculeatus aculeatus (three-spined stickleback), 2927 nucleotides long. The record is from Ensembl. Lineage: Eukaryota; Metazoa; Chordata; Actinopteri; Perciformes; Gasterosteidae.
GUUUAGGAAUGCUUGGAGCUGACCGCAGCGUGGCUAGCCAGACGGUGGUGGGGCUGGUAACUGGGCCUCUCACUUGCUCCUCACAUUUUCAGUUGGGCGUCUGGGUAUUUACAUUUUCAGAAUUGCAUGCUUUUGGCUUUGAUUCAUAUCGUUUGGCGUGAGUGUGUGUGGAGCACUGGCCCCAGUGAGGGUCCUGUCCCCCUGCAGCCUAGCUACCAAUAGAACCCAAUUUGUUUAUUAAAACCCUUUGAUUGUUGUUUUACUACAUUCCCAGAGCUGACAUGAUAUGAAACAAUUUAUUAAAGUUAUUCCUAUUUUAAUGAUAGAUUUAUUUGACAGAUGUUCAAAUAAAUGUUGUACUCUGGGGGAAUACUUUGCCUUGGUCUGUCUGCUUUGGUCAUCGGUGGGUCUGUAGUUGUUGUGUUUCAAGUUAUAAAUCAAAAGAAUAAGGUGUUGUGCUAAAAAGCUCAGGAGCCGCUGGUUUCUGCAACCAACAGGCCCCAGGGCCCUUUGACCAUCCCUAUAGUGCCUGUCUGUUGCCUCUACCAGCGAACUCGAGAACACUGGUUGCCUACAGGUAUUUUACAGUGCAGUAAGGUAAGGUGUGAAAGUUUGUGUCCACACCUCCUUGGAGUGGUCUUCUGGUGAGUUGUGGUUCAAAUGCAUUGUUCUCGAGUUCUCUGGUGGAGGCAACAGACAGUCACUAUGGGUGGUCAAUGGGCUACCCUGUUAAUUGCAGUGACCAGCUAAGAUGUUCUUUUUAGCACAACACACUUUCUUUUAUUAAAUACUUUGGAUUUUAACUCUUCAUCCAAGGUGUCUUCUGUCCGUCCAGAGUUUCCUUUUUUUAGCACAACAGGAACAAGAUCUUUUUGUGAUGGCAUGUGAUCUACCGCCACUGCCUUGGCGUGAUCAACCUAUUGGGUACCUCCUGGUGUAUUGCCACAUCCAAAUACUAUUCCAGAGCAAUAGUGGGAGCUGCCAUGCAGGGACCUUAGCUCUGUGUCCUUUAGUCUGAGCACUCUCUUUAAGCAAUAAUUACUAACCAAGAAACUGCUUUGAAUCCAAGCGUCAGAAAAAAAAUGUAAUAUUCAUCCUAGCGGCUGCUCUUUCAGUGCAUUAUAAUUGCAUUCCAAUAAAAUGCACUUUAGGAACGAUGUUGUAUCUGCCAUUUUCAUAUCAUCUUCAGACCUGAGCGUUGUAAUGAAUUAUUAUUAUCAGUCCUGACACAGGUUCCUUCCUAUCGUCCCCCACUCUCUGCGUAGUGAAUAAAUAGGGUGGGAUUAUCAGGUCACUUAUAGUCCACUGACAUUUUUGUAUUUGAAAUGAGCCACACUAUGUGUUGGCAAUUUGCCUUCCUACGGCAGCGCUCGAUAAAGCAGAGCCAAUUAAAAAGCCGCAAAUUGUUGCUUUUGGCGAAGUCACGCAUGAAAAGCACGCAUUUCAUGUAAGUUGCAAUGGAGAUUGCACAGGCUGUAUUCAUAUGAGUGUGGAAAAUAUAACCAGGAAUGGUAGUUUGUUUGACAUCAUCAGUCAAGUCGCGUGGCGUUAUUUUUGCAAUACCUCUGGCAGACAAUCCUUGAAACAAUAUGAAACCCAUUACAGGGGAUCUGGACAGCAUGUUGGAUUCUUUGUCUUUCAUGGUAUUGAAUAAGCAACUGAAUGACGCCCACUACGGGAUGAAUGAUGGGAGGCAAAAACUGCAUCCCUGAGGUUUCAAAUGAUUAUCAACUCUACAGAAUGAGAACAUUUUGCUUUGCGUGUGUAGCACUUGUCUGGGACUAGUAUUAGAAAAAGCACUAAAUAUAUACCUAGAUUUGAAGGAGAGGUAGGCUUAAGACAAAGAACAAGUUGAACGAAUUACCAGUUUAUUGCUUCACAAUUGGUCAUGCAACAAUCACAAUAUAAAACAGUGUAAAAUAAAAAAAGAAGAGUAGAUUGUUGGGAAAUUGUAUGAUUCUUGUGAAAGAACUCUGUCUUUCCAGUGUAGGUAUAUGUACAGUUCCCACGAUAUAAUCCGUUCAGUGCUGGAAAGUUCCACGAGUUCGGUUCUGGUUCAGGUCUUAAUGUAUACUGUAUCUCUAAACUACCUUACUACCGGUCUACCUGACGGCAGGACUAGGAUCUGAUGUCUGCUAAGCGAAUCAGGUUCUGCCUGAAUCAUACUGUAGGCCACACCGCAUCCACGACCUUUUAAACAUUGCUAGAGGUGGUUUUAGCCUUUUUCAAGAGUUGUGAAGUCCUCUGGUGCCUGUUCUGCCUGUUGUUUGUUUCGUACCAUUCAUUCUGCAAGUAAAAGUUCCAAACCUGGUUCAACUAAGUCAAUCAAAUGUCUGAGAUGAUUGACAUCAGGCUAUCUCUGUUCCUCGAAGGCGGAUCGGCGCUCAAAACGUCUCGUUAGUCUGAACCAGAUGUCAGUCAUCAGGAUGUUUUGACCCCGUUUUGACGUGAGGCCUUCGGCAGAGUAUUCCUGAACAUAAUACUUGCAUUGUUUUUUGGGAGGAGGAUGCUUGCCUUCAUACUUUUGUGAGGAAUUAGUGUUCGGUCUGUUUUGUAGAGUAGGACCUUCUCCUGAGAUGUAUCGUCAAAAUAUAUCCAAAUAGAUUAAACCUUUUUGAUUGAUUUUGAUUCUGUCUAUAACAAGACCUAAAAGCAAACCCAGUCCAGUCAGAGUAAAUCACAAUAAAAAAAUGGAUUAGCUGUGUCCUCGCGUAAACCACACCAGACAGUCUGUUUUUCAUCACAUUUUAUAUGGAUGAGCCCGUCAAUCUGACUGCCAUAGAGCAACGAUUAGGAAGGGGGUGAAUGUUUUGAUGAACAAUAUGUAUAUUGUAUAGUUUCUUUAUAAAGGGGCAAAAGUGAAGAUAAUUAUUCAUGAAAAUAAGAAGGAACCCAUUAUUGUGCUGCUUGACAUAGUAAUGUGUUAC